RNAcentral lists this long non-coding RNA (307 nucleotides) under Homo sapiens (human). RNAcentral describes it as "HSALNT0122293". Lineage: Eukaryota; Metazoa; Chordata; Mammalia; Primates; Hominidae. The record is from RNAcentral.
ACCUGUGGCCACUACAACAAGCAGUGCCUGUUAUACAAUGUGUCAGCCCCAAGCUCUCAUCAGUGCCCAGGAGAGCCAGGCUCUUCUCCUCUUGCUGUCCGAUGGCUGGCGUCUCUGGGGCAUGUAGCUCAGUCAUCGCCAGCUGCUGUGAGUUAUUCCCAUCCAGCCACAAAGUCUCCCAGCUGGACUCACUUCUGAAACAUCUGCCCAGUCCCCCAUGUGAGCUGUGGGGCUGCAUCCUGUGAAGGAAACAAGCUCCCACCAGCAGGGUCUGUCUUGGAUCCAGAACAACAUGCUUCCUGUCAGA